ACCAGGGAGACUGUGUACAUAGUAAUUGUUGGCAGCAUUGAAGAAGAUGCAGUGAGAACAGAGACCCAGCUCUCACUUCCUAAACACAAAGGAUAUACAUCUGGAUGUCAGAGAACAAUAUCAUGGAAUCUACUCUCUCCUCCACUUCUGAGUGGAUUCAGAAGUUGAACUAAGGUGGUCAGACUUGAAGGGCAACUGCUGAUCUAAUAGGCCUGCAAAACUACAUGUAUUCCUCUGUGAUAAAAAAUUGAAGACCCAGAAAUGAACCCACACA
Mus musculus (house mouse) is the source of this 274-nucleotide long non-coding RNA. RefSeq annotates it as predicted gene, 54191. The transcript has 3 exons. The record is from RefSeq and is a predicted model, not a curated record. Lineage: Eukaryota; Metazoa; Chordata; Mammalia; Rodentia; Muridae.